AUGGCGGCCGCGGGAGACGCCGGCGAGAAGAAGAUGGUGACGCUCAAGAGCUCGGACGGGGAGGAGUUCGAGGUGGAGGAGGCGGUCGCCAUGGAGUCGCAGACCAUCCGGCACAUGAUCGAGGACGACUGCGCCGACAAUGGCAUCCCGCUCCCCAACGUCACCUCCAAGAUCCUCUCCAAGGUCAUCGAGUACUGCAACAAGCACGUCCAGGCCAAGCCCGCCGACGCCGCCGCCGCCGCGCCCGACGCGGCGGCGCCCCCCGCCGAGGACCUCAAGAACUGGGACGCCGAGUUCGUCAAGGUCGACCAGGCCACCCUCUUCGACCUCAUCCUGGCCGCAAACUUCCUCAACAUCAAGGGGCUGCUGGACCUGACCUGCCAGACUGUUGCGGACAUGAUCAAGGGCAAGACCCCGGAGGAGAUCCGCAAGACCUUCAACAUCAAGAACGACUUCACGCCCGAGGAGGAGGAGGAGAUCCGCAGGGAGAACCAGUGGGCCUUUGAGUAG
RNAcentral lists this ribosomal RNA (510 nucleotides) under Triticum aestivum (bread wheat). RNAcentral's name for it is "partial small subunit ribosomal RNA". The record is from RNAcentral. Lineage: Eukaryota; Viridiplantae; Streptophyta; Magnoliopsida; Poales; Poaceae.